AUUUAAAUAGUGUAAUUAUAAACAUGUAACAUUUUCAUUGUUAAGAUCCUUUUGGUUUAAAUU
RNAcentral lists this transfer RNA (63 nucleotides) under Hyalomma scupense. RNAcentral describes it as "tRNA-Glu". Lineage: Eukaryota; Metazoa; Arthropoda; Arachnida; Ixodida; Ixodidae. The record is from RNAcentral.